Non-coding RNA from Pangasianodon gigas (Mekong giant catfish), 73 nucleotides. The record is from the annotation of a GenBank genome assembly. NCBI's taxonomy places the organism in Eukaryota, Metazoa, Chordata, Actinopteri, Siluriformes, Pangasiidae.
GGUUUAGUGGUUUAGUGGUUAGCACUGUUGCCUUGCACCUCUGGGGUUGGGGGUUUGAAUCCCACCUCCACCU